AUUGAACGCUGGCGGCAGGCCUAACACAUGCAAGUCGAACGAGUGGCGGACGGGUGAGUAAUGUCUGGGAAACUGCCCGAUGGAGGGGGAUAACUACUGGAAACGGUAGCUAAUACCGCAUACCAUCGGAUGUGCCCAGAUGGGAUUAGCUAGUAGGUGGGGUAACGGCUCACCUAGGCGACGAUCCCUAGCUGGUCUGAGAGGAUGACUAGCUAAACUGGAACUGAGCGACGGUCCAGACUCCCACGGGAGGUAGGAGAGGGGAAUAGUGCACAAUGUGCACAAGGCUGAUGCAGCCAUGGCACGUGAAUGGAGGAGGCGUUCGGGGUGUAAAGGUUUUUCAGCGAGGAAGCGUUACUCGAAGAAGAAGCACCGGCUAACUCCGUGCCAGCAGCCGCGGUAAUUC
RNAcentral lists this ribosomal RNA (406 nucleotides) under uncultured bacterium. RNAcentral's name for it is "partial 16S ribosomal RNA". It matches the Rfam family "Bacterial small subunit ribosomal RNA", at positions 30 to 526 of the family's 1533-position model. The record is from RNAcentral.